CGCGAUAGGUAAUGUGAAUUGCAGAAUUCCGUGAAUCAUCGAAUCUUUGAACGCACCUUGCGCUCCAUGGUAUUCCGUGGAGCAUGCCUGUUUGAGUGCCGCGAAUUCUCCCUCCCCUUACGGUGGCCGAAAGGCCGAAGUAGGGCGGACGGGGUAGGAUGGGUGUUUGCUGCCUGGGGAUUGUACCAGGCUCGCCCGAAAUGCAUAAGCGCCAGGACCCUCGCUACCGCUCUCUAGGGAAGAGUGGCUAAGCGACCGCUGAGCAUGGCAUGAUACGUCAUUUGCUGUGUGUGGGCGGCCGGUUGGAGAGGUGUCUGCUUUACCAGCCCUAUUUUAAUUCUGGUCUCAAAUCAGGUAGGAUCACCCGCU
RNAcentral lists this ribosomal RNA (369 nucleotides) under Malassezia sympodialis. RNAcentral's name for it is "eukaryotic LSU rRNA". The stretch from base 1 to 101 matches the Rfam family "5.8S ribosomal RNA", at positions 54 to 154 of the family's 154-position model. The record is from RNAcentral. Lineage: Eukaryota; Fungi; Basidiomycota; Malasseziomycetes; Malasseziales; Malasseziaceae.